UGCAAGUCGAGGGGUAACAGGUGUAGCAAUACAUGCUGACGACCGGCGCACGGGUGCGUAACACGUAUAUAAUCUACCUAUAACUGGGGGAUAGCCCGAAGAAAUUCGGAUUAAUACCCCAUAACAUUGCGAAAUGGCAUCAUAUUGCAAUUAAAGCUCCGGCGGUUAUGGAUGAGUAUGCGUUCGAUUAGCUAGUUGGUGAGGUAACGGCUCACCAAGGCGACGAUCGAUAGGGGUACUGAGAGGUUACACCCCCACACUGGUACUGAGACACGGACCAGACUCCUACGGGAGGCAGCAGUAAGGAAUAUUGGACAAUGGUCGCAAGACUGAUCCAGCCAUGCCGCGUGCAGGAUGACUGCCCUAUGGGUUGUAAACUGCUUUUGUAUGGGAAUAAACCCUUCUACGUGUAGAAGGCUGAAUGUACCAUAAGAAUAAGGAUCGGCUAACUUCGUGCCAGCAGCCGCGGUAAGACGAAGGAUCCAAGCGUUAUCCGGAUUUAUUGGGUUUAAAGGGUGCGUAGGCGGAUUGAUAAGUCAGUGGUGAAAGCCUGUUGCUUAACAACAGAACUGCCAUUGAUACUGUCAAUCUUGAAUAUGUUUGAUGUGGGCGGAAUAUGACAUGUAGCGGUGAAAUGCUUAGAUAUGUCAUAGAACACCGAUUGCGAAGGCAGCUCACAAAGCCAUUAUUGACGCUGAGGCACGAAAGCGUGGGGAUCAAACAGGAUUAGAUACCCUGGUAGUCCACGCUGUAAACUUUGAUCACUCGCUGUUGGCGAUACACUGUCAGCGGCUAAGCGAAAGCGUUAAGUGAUCCACCUGGGGAGUACGAUCGCAAGAUUGAAACUCAAAGGAAUUGACGGGGGCCCGCACAAGCGGUGGGAGCAUGUGGGUUUAAUUCGAUGAUACGCGAGGAACCUUACCAGGGCUUUGAAAGUUAGCGACUAUA
RNAcentral lists this ribosomal RNA (948 nucleotides) under uncultured Flavobacteriales bacterium. RNAcentral's name for it is "bacterial SSU rRNA". It matches the Rfam family "Bacterial small subunit ribosomal RNA", at positions 56 to 999 of the family's 1533-position model. Lineage: Bacteria; Pseudomonadati; Bacteroidota; Flavobacteriia; Flavobacteriales. The record is from RNAcentral.